GGCCUGCUCUGUGACAGACACUAGGCUGGUGCUUUGCCUGCCAGGAAGAUGUCUUGUGCUUAAGAUGGAAAAAAAAAAAAAAAAAGAGGGUCAGAAACAAUGAGUAAGCUACCCCAGGUCACAUGGCUGAUGCACUGGAAUUGUGCCCUGGGCCUCUCUGACCUCAAAGCCUUUGGACUUUGCUGGGCUUGUGGUUUUCACCGGCUCUGAGAUAGCCGCUGCUCUCACUUAUUCACUCAACAAAUGCUGGUCUCAGCGACACGCCAGAUGCUGAGAGAGCGCUGGGGUGACAUAAUCACAGCAACUGGUGGCACAGAGCUCACGGCUCUGCCCGGGAGAGAGGAACACGCACAACAUGGGGUGGAAAGUGGCCCAAGGGGAAAACGAACCACAUCCUCCAAAGAGACGGUCUCCGACAGGACCAGGGAUGCUCUCACAGAAGAGGUGGCUCAAAACCCUUUUCCUAUCCAUCUACUCGCGUCUCGUGCCCUCGUCCCUUUUCUCUCCAACGUUGCUUUCAUUUUUCAACUUUUCAAAUUUAUUUUUUAAAGGGUGCCCUGCCAAUUUCUGCCAUACAGCAAGUGACCCAGUCCUACAGAUAUAAUAUACAUCCAUCCUUUUUCUCAUACGAUCUUCAUCGUGUUCUGUCGCAAGGGAUUAGAGUAGUUCCCUGUGUUGUGCAGCAGGACCGCGCUGCUUGUCCUCCAUUGGAACUGGAGUGGUUUGCAUCUACUGGCCCCAGACAGGGUCCAGAAAGAGGGUCCCCGUUCUCGCUUACGUAUCCUUCUGCCUGGAGUGGAGGGACCCUGGACAUGCCCGCCUGUGCCAGCCCAUCCUCACCCGAGCCCCAGGAGGUGGUGCUGUCCUCAUUCCUUACAGCAGCGUAAGCUCGUGCUCAGAGGGGAGGGUCCUGGACUUGCCAAGGUCAUUUGCACCCAGAUCCAGAUGGCCCUCUGCCACCCUGCCUCCCACACUGGAUGGAACUGCGCUGGUCUCUACCCAGUGGGCAUUUUAAUUUAAAGGCGUCCGACCCAUUAGCUUCCCAGUGGGAACAUGAAGCAUUAAACAUCCUUUCAUAUAGUUUCGUUAUCGUCUGGACGCUACAGGGCUGGGGCGUGAAUAGCCUCGCAGUUCACAGGCGCUUGCUCAUCAAGUUGGCCUCACUUUCUUCUGGAGGCUUCUCGCGGUGUUAGCUCUGGCUUCUGGCUGCAUUUGAUUCUGUAACCACUUCCCAGAAUUUGGAAAUGUGUGUGUGUGUGUGUGUGUGUUUGAGGGGGAGAUGAGGAUGCGGCUGGGCUAAAACCGUCAGGCAUGUGAUGAAAUUCACUAACCUGUGUGUUCUCACCAGCCUUGGGAGGGUAAGCAGGCAGAAACCACAAUUAAAUGUGUGUAAAAUUUUCUGGGAAGUUCUAGAGAAUGGAUUUUUAUAAUCCAAGCCAUAUUUUAAAUGCUUCAAGUGGUGGGGAUGUGUUCGAUGUCCACAGUAAAUUAUUUAAUAACCUAAAAAGGAAAUCUAAUUUCCUGCCUUCCCUCUUUCUCCUUUUCUCUCUCUGUCUAGUUUGUUUGUUUUUCAUAGGGCAAAGCUAUUUACAUGCUUUGUAGAAUUAUUUCUGUAAAGAAAAGGUUCUUUUGUCUAGCAGGCAAAACCGGAAAUAAAAUGAAGACCCCGUAGAUCAUGGGUGUAUUAAAACUUUACACGUUCAGUUUAGGUUUUUGACACUUGGUUCGUUUUACAAAGUUCACAAAGUGUGUUUGUAAAUCUAGUCCGCAUGUAUAACGGACCGAAAAACGUCAAUGGAAGGACAGAUUUUAGAACCGCUUGAAAGCCGUCCUCUCUAGGAAGUGCUUUUCCAGGCUCUCACACCCGAUGACACUGUUUUAACCGGCAGAGACUCCACAAGCUGAGGCUGCGUGUCCCUUCCCCAGGGGGUGGGGUGAACGUCAACCCAGAAAGGCGCACACAGGGACAGUGGGACCCCCCAGGAGGGAGAAAUCAGAGGUAGGGACAUUGGGGGCGGGGGUUACAGAGUAAGCAGGAGCUGUUGACUUAAUCAUUUGUGUAUUCCCGACCUGAUUCCACAUAAAGCUUUAAAAUGAUUGACAGAUAUUCUGCAUGAAGGUAAAAUAAAGUCAGGGAGGAAAUAAGGUACAAGGAAAAGCAGGAGAAGAAACUAAAACAAAGCCAUGGGCAGGUUCGGGCCUAAAGCUGCUGCAGGUGAGUAACACGUUUGGCUCCAGACUCCUUGGUCCUAAGAACAGAACGGGGACACGAUCAGGUUGGCAGCUCUUAAUCAUCGUGUCCACGGAAUGAAAGCACAUCAGAUGCCCAGGAGACGCGCCACGUUCCUGGGGCCGAGGGCUGAGACGCAUUUCCCCACGACCCCUCCGCAAGGGUCUCUGAGUGGGCAGUGACAUGCUGUUCCAGUGUGGAUGCUUCUGAGGGGAGCAUGCCGGGCAGGAAACCGCGUUCUUGGCAGAGGGACCAGCGUGAACCCAGCUCCGUGUCUUUAUCAGGGUUCUUGGCAGGGAAGGGGUCUGCAGGCCAGUUCCCAUCAUGGUUCUUGGAGGGGGUGACCCAGUAUGGCAUCUGGGUACCUGUGGAUGCAGUCUGAGGGUGAAUGGCAUUGACGGGGGGACACAGGCAGACAAUGCUGGGGUGCGGAGACCUGCUUAGAGGUGGGACAAGGCCCUGGUCGGGGCUCCUCUGGCCCUGAAGUCAGAGGGUGGGAGACUCAGGAGGUGGAGCCUCAGUGGUGCAGGAAGCCCGAUUGGCUGGGCCGCCCCGGGCCUUGGCCCCCAGAGGCUGGCUGUCUUUAUAAAGACAUUGCAAGACUUUUUCUCGUAUGAAAUUUAAAAAAAAAAGCACAUACGCUGCAGGCUGUCAGGAAGCAAUGUGAGAAACCUGAGCUGCCCCACUGACAGAGCCUCAUAUUUUGGGGUUUUUGUCUGUUCUAUUUUUGAGGCUGGCAAACCGGUUUCCUGUUUGUUGCAAAAUGGGUGGUUGUCGCUGUCUGUGCCUGGCCUGGAGGGAGGCGCCUCCGCCAGCGGAGGCCCGUUUUCUCCCUCGAGUCAGUUCCCUUCUGUGCAGGGGCCAAAGAGGAACCCAGGAUGCCAGGGCAAGGAGCAGGGGCGCCCUGCCAGCCGCUUCCCGGGGGUGCCCGGGGCGGGGGCGUCGAAGUCACCACCCUCGGCGGGGCAGUGCCCCUCUCUGGGAAGACGAGCUCCAUGUCACAAGAGGGGACAUUUCUUACCCAAAGGUCAAAUUAGAGGCUCAGUAAGACCCGAGAGCGGGUCUCAGAGGAAAGAGCCGUCUGUGGAGGGGCGGGCGGGGAAGAAGAGCGAAAGCCCGGCAUUAAUUAGUCACUCGUACUCGGAGGCUCAUCCUUUUCACAACCUUCGCACCUGCCUUCCUCAUCUCUCUCUGAGUUGUUACCCAGGACUCCCAUUCCACAGACGAGGAGCCCGAGGCUCAGAAUCAUGCAGUGGCCUAGGGUUACUGUCUGCAUAAGCGACGCCUGCCUUACUCCUGCGUUUGCUCCCCAGGGCUGGCCUCUCAGGAGCCGGGGGUCUGACAUGCCGUGAAUGCAAGUUCGGCGUCCCCCCCCCCACUGCCGCCCCCUCUUCUUAUGGAAGCUCCGAGAGGCAGAAAAGCUUGUAGAAACUCCCAGAGCGAGUUCGUAGCCGAAUCAGAAAGUGAGUUUGCGGUGUCUAGUUUACUGGUUUCCCAACUGUCUUAGAUGCUUUCUAGCCUGGCAGAGAAAUCAUGCCAGUCUGGCCUGGCGCAGAGUGGGAACACCUAGCCAGGCAACCCGGGCAAGCCGGCUGUGGGGCUUACGUUGGGGAACGUCGCCUCUGUCUCAGCGUGGCUGGGUGGUGACGGGGCUCGGGGUCCCAGGGCUCUGUUUUUCCCUGUCCCCGUGCGCUCCGUCCUCCACAUGCCAGAGCCUGUGACUCCUCACUGCCUCUUGGGGUGAAGCAAGGACGGCCCUUCUCAGAGUACCAGUCGGCGUUACUAGCUGGUCGUUGCCUCCUGCUGUGCUUUCGCAAUCUCCCCCUGCACCCCUGGGGGCAGUACUGUAAGGAGAAGUGGAAUCUAUUUUCGCGUGUGUAUUUUCUCAAGCAACACAUGCUAAAACAGCAGCACCAGUUCUCGCAGGGGUCCUUACAUGCCCAAGGCUGGAAUCAGUACCGAGGGACGGUGUCAGGUCUUAGUAGGUGUUCUCAGAUGCUUCGUUUUCCAGAUGAACCCAACCCAGAGCGAGACGCAGGGUAGGACAGAAGCGCAGGAAAACCCAUCCGCCUAGAUGGCAUCACCUCGCGGGGCCUUGAGAGGGAGGAACAGAGACCGGCCUCGGGGGGGAGAAUUACCUGCUGUGUGUGUUGCGGGGCUGGGCUCUCUGACAGUGUCCCCUCCUUUGCGGCCCCUUCCCACUUCCUCCACCCUGGAUAACGUCCCCUCUUCCUUCCAGGCUUAGAACCGAGGGGAGGAGGCGCGCGCCUCCCCCACGUCCUGACACGGGCUUUGGUUGCCCUGCUUCUCCCCUGACCUGCCUUUAUCGCACCUGCUUUAAGUUCUUUGCGACUUUCUUUCACUCCGCUUGGCAAUUGCGGCUCCUUGAGGGUGAAGAUGCGCUGACGGCAGUUUGCUCCCCCGCUGCCAUGGCUCAGGGGCUGAUAGUCUGGGAGGUGGGGAGGCAGGGUGGUUCGGCUGGUAGGUCAUUAAUGCCUUCCUUGGUCUCGGGCUGGCACGUUACCGCAGGGGUGAGGAAGGCGCGUCCCAGCUCAGGCCCUUCCUCCUUCUGUGGACCCAUCACCUCUCUGUAUAGGAGCAGUCUUGUCACUCGGGUUCCUGACACCUCACUGCUUUGCAGGUUUCACGAAAGGGGCACCUGCCUUGCUUGUGCAUCUUCUUCCCCACGACCAGGCAUGUCUGUGUUCCCUCCUUCAUGCGGAGACUUCCUGCUGUUUUUGCAUCUAUGGCUGCCUAACAAACUCCCCUGAAACUCAGUAGCUCCGGACAGUAACUUAUUAUUUCUCACGGUUCUGGCCGGGCAGCUCUCUGCUGGGCUUGGCGGGGUUCGCUCCUGGAGCUGCAUUCAGCUCAUGGCAGGGCUGGGCUGGGAGCUCAAGGGAGCCUCCUCACUCCCACACGCCUAGAGUCUCAGGGCAGGCGGUGCUCCUCCGUGUGGCUCUCGAUUUCCAGGAGGCCAGACCUGGCUUCUUCCCAGAGGGAUGGUCUCAGGGUUCCCAGGGUGUGAAGCCCAAGCUGCUGGGCUUCCGAAGGCCUAGGCCAGAACUGACGCAGCAUCGCUUCUGCCUCGGUCUUUGAGUUAAAGCAAAAUUCGAGGCCAUCCGGAUUCGAGGGGAGGGGAAAUGGACCCACCCCGUGUUGAAAGGAGGGGGGAGUCCCGUUGCAAAGGUUCCGGGCCUGCUUAGCACUCCCUCCUGCUUCGUGUGCUUCGAAGAUAAAUUCCUCCUCUUGGAAACCUUUGUGAAAUGACUUCUCAGGCGGCAUUCUGAACAUGGCCUGGGCAAGUUCAGGGGUUGAUGCUCUGGCCCCGCCUGCCCCCGAAGCUCUAGAGGAGGCUGCUUGUGGAGUGGAGCUGGGGCUGCUGCUUCUGAGGGACGUGGGCAUCUACCUUCUUGACUGACACGAGCAGCAUCUCAGGGCACGUGGCUCCUGCGCUGCAGGAAGGGCUUCCUCAGGGUCUGAGUCACCGUGGCGGGUAGCUCCUCAGGCAUCACUCAAAUCAUGCUGAAUUUUCCCUGGAGUCCCUUGAGCGUUAAUCCCCGAUGAAAAUAGAACAGGUUUUUUGUUUUUUUUUUUUUUUGUUUGUUUGUUUGCCAUUUUCAACAUGUGUUGCUUUGACUAUAGAUGUUUUAAAAUUCUUCUACCUGGGUGUGGAGAGGUUAAGAUUUGGGGAGGGUUGCCUUUUUUCUUUUUUUAUGGCCACAUCUGUGGCAUAUGGAAGUUCCUGGGCUAGGAAUUGCAUCAGAGCUGCAGCUGCUGGCUCUUCCCAUGCCAUAACCAUAGCAACGCGGGAUCCAAGCCGCAUCUGCCACCUGUGCCACAGCGUAGAGACAUGCAGGAUCCUUCACCUGCUGACCAAGCCCAGGGAUCAAACCUGCGUCCUCAUGGAUACUAAUUGGGUUCUUAAUGCACCAAGCCACAAGGGGAACUCCCGAUUGUAAGCAACAGAACCUAAUUCUCACUACCUUUUUUAAAAAGAAGAAAAGUAUUAAAGGGGAAUGGGUGUCUCAGAGAACUGGUGAGAGGCUGAGGAGUUGGGUCUGAAGAGAGCAAGAAGCAAAACAAAGGAUCGGCAGGUUGUAAACACAUUUGUAGUCGAGGGUGGCGGGUUGCUAACAGGGAGCGGGCCGAGAGAGCUGCGGGAACAUCAAGGCCAGUAUGUCUGUGUUUAGCCUGGGGGAGCUGGGGACAUUUCGCAGAAUUGGCAGGGUCAACCUCAGAGGAUGGGUAGGGAAAAGCAUUUCAGGCUGGUGGAAUAGCAUAUGCAAAGGCACUGAAACUUGAAAUGAGAUGAUCUUGUUUAGGGACUCACAGGAAAAGUAUAAGAGGGAGGCAGAGAACGAGCCUGGAAUGGGAGGUGUAGCCCCAGACGAUGGAAGGCCUUGAGUGACUGUUGAGGAGUUGGCAUUGAAUCCUAUAGGCUGAACUGGGUUUCUGGAACUGUAGUGGCCAGAGAGAUGCUAGUAGAUGCCCCUCGAAUAAAGGAUUCCUCCAGCAUAAGUUUGGGAUGUGUCCAUUAUUAUGUAUUUCUCUCUUGGAUGAUCAUCAAGAUACUAAAGGCUCUGAGAAGUCCUGCAGUGGAAGUGGUGCCUCAGGUGAGAGAGAUGCCGGGUGCGCUCCGUCCUUGAGCUGGAAAGGAGGACGUCCCCCCUCCCUCCCUCCCUCAGCCCUACAGGGUACUGCACAAGCAAAGCACGGUAACUCUCUAGAAAGUGGUGUGGACAGAAGAGGGGGCUUGGGUGUAAACCCACUAGGAAGGGAUAUAACUCAUGUGGAAAGUGAGCUCUCUGACAAAUGCUAUUUGUUUGCUUUGGAUAAGCUCAGUAUUUUGAGAUUUGUUUCUCUGACACACCCUCAGUUCCCUUUGGCUUUUGCUGAAAAUGAUACAUUUUUCCAGACUUGUGACUUUGGCUGCCAUGGUCGACCAUCUCUGCAUGCUUGGUUCUAGAAGUGCAAAAUAUUUCCUCUCCUUCUGAGUGGUUCUCUUUAAUUGCAUUCUUUUUUCUGUGUGUCUUUCUAGGGCCGCUCCUGUGGCAAAUGGAGGCUCCUAGGCUAGGGGGUCGAAUUGGAGCUGCAGCCACCGGCCGACAUCACAGCCACAGCAAUGGCAGAUCCGAGCCGUGUCUGUGACCUACACCACUGCUCCCGGCAAUGCCGAAUCCUUAACCCACUGAGGGAGGCCAGGGAUGGAACCUGUGACCUCAUAGAUGCUAAUCACAUUCGUUUCCUCUGAGCCACGAUGGGAACUCCUCUUUUAUUUUAAAUGGAAAGAGAUAUGGAAGUAAAAAGUCCUCUUUCUUCCUGCUCCUUGGAAGAAAGGAAGGGAAAAGUUCCCCAGAGGAAUGAAUCUUGGGUAGAAAGACAGAACUGAAGCCAGAGCUACUGAGAUGGUCACAGGGAGCUGGUGCUUUGCUUUGCUUACUCUGAGGACCAAACCCUGUCACCUGUGGGCUUCCAGUGCAGAUCGUGACAUUGCAGGAGAGGGACAGUGCAAAUGAGCAGAGGAGCUGGAGCUGAACGAGGACCUUGUGCUGGGCUGGGAGACGCUCGCCCAGUCCUGGGCUUUGGUUGUGGGUCCUCCAUGUGUACUCAGGAGUAUUCUGAGAGACCUCCGCUGCAGGAGGACAUGGGUGUCCAGGUGACAAAGAAAGGGGCUCGUUUGAUGAUGACUGUCUUGCUGUGGCCACAUCCCUGUUCAAACCUGGCGGAAAAAACAGAGAGGAAGACUUUGUCAUCAGUUUCACAACAUGGCUUCUGGAAGGAUCAGCAAAGGACAAGAAAGACAAUGGCAGCCAACACAUACUAAGUGGCAGCUCUGGUGUGCCAGGAAAUUGUGGCUGGUGUGCCACACAUGCUCGUUGUCCUCCAUGCAACCCUCCGAAGUGUUUAUUAAUAUUCACUGUAAGGAAGAGUGUGGGAGAUGCUGCCUUUUAAAUAGUUUUCUUUUAUUAACUAUAAAAUGACAGGAGUUCCCAUCACGGCUCAGUGGUUAAUGAAUCCAACUAGGAACCACGAGGUUGCGGGUUCAAUCCCUGGCCUCGCUCAGUGGGUUAAAGAUCCAGUGUUGCUGUAGCUGUGGCAUAGGCCAGCGGCUACAGCUCCUAUUAGACCCCUAGCCUGGGAACCUCCAUGUGCCAAGGGUGCGGCCCUAGAAAGGGCAAAAAGACAAAAUAAAUACAUAAAUAAA
RNAcentral lists this long non-coding RNA (8438 nucleotides) under Sus scrofa (pig). Its description in RNAcentral is "lncRNA (ENSSSCG00000050157.1)". Lineage: Eukaryota; Metazoa; Chordata; Mammalia; Artiodactyla; Suidae. The record is from RNAcentral.